This 210-nucleotide unclassified non-coding RNA is filed under the name Hevea brasiliensis (rubber tree). The record is from RNAcentral. Lineage: Eukaryota; Viridiplantae; Streptophyta; Magnoliopsida; Malpighiales; Euphorbiaceae.
GUGGCUUCAACGCAUUUGCCGCCGGGAAAGAAGAUCCUUCGCACGUUCACCGGCAACAUAGCCUUCAGGGUCAAGCAAAUAACUAGCAAGUGGUAAUACUAUUUUUUGAUAAGAACACUCAUACCACUGAUAAGACUUCCUCCAAGUAUCCUACUUUUUACCAUGGUUUUCAAAGAAAAUUUUUUAUUUCUUUUUCAUCAAUUAAUCCUG